This is a long non-coding RNA of Triplophysa rosa, 1011 nucleotides long. RefSeq lists it as uncharacterized. The record is from RefSeq and is a predicted model, not a curated record. NCBI's taxonomy places the organism in Eukaryota, Metazoa, Chordata, Actinopteri, Cypriniformes, Nemacheilidae. The transcript has 3 exons.
GAAUUGUGUCGGCUAAGGCUAGUGAUUAAUUUUUCUUUUAUUGUAGUACCUAUAUAAUUGUUUGUGUGUGUCAUAAAAGCAUAUUUUGCAUACUGAGCAGUUAAAGCCAAUUCCUGAAUGAAUGUUAAAAAAUCUUGGGAGACCUAAUUUUCAUAGUGAGGAACUUAUACAGAACUAGGACAAUAAUGGUGAAGUUAAUCAACCUUGCAGAGCACACAGUAAUCACCAGAGGGGGGAUCUCCAGAUACUCCAGAUCUCCAUAUUCAGCUCAACACUUAACAUGCAAGCAUACAAGACCACACACAAACAUUAUAUAAAUAACAUAACUCUACAUGGUUAUCAAAUGCACAUACACACUCAUGCAUACAACACCACAAAUAUUAAAAACCAUUAAAAACCACUAGCCUUAGCCAUCUUGAUGGUUACUGUUGUUAUAAUGUUGUCAGAAUGCCUGUUGUUUAGUAUCGUUUAUUUGUUUUUGUUGUACAAUGAAAUUUACAUUUCUGAACUGCUGUAUGUUUCAUGUUUAAAUUAUUCAGUGGAAAAAUAAAGCUUUUAACAUUUCACAGCUGUCCAUUGUUUCUGUAUUUUAGGUGUUAAGAACAUAAAAUUAUUCAUCUAAAUGAGCUUACAUUUCAUCAUGAGGGUAAACUAGACUUUUUUUGGUAGAAAUAACAAAAAUGUGUUAGUAAACACAACUUAAAAUUGUGAGUCACACCAACCGAAAAAAUUAAGCAAAAUCCCUUGCUGGGAAUAGGGUUAGGGUUACUCAAAAAUUUAAGCAAUGCCUACUAAAGAAUUUAAGGUAAUGCUGCUUAAAAUUUAAUGUAGAACUGGCUUAAAAAAUUGGUCGCAAAAAUGAUGCACUAUAUUUUUAAGUAACUUCAGCGUAAUUUUUUUUUCAGUGUAGUAUAUUAUUAACAGUUUUCUAAAUUUUUGCUGUCCCACCAUAGGACACAUGUACAGUAUAUUUGUCAACAGUUUUUUUUUUCAAUUUUAUUUAUUACACUU